RNAcentral lists this small RNA (18 nucleotides) under Arabidopsis thaliana (thale cress). RNAcentral's name for it is "ATSL014960". The record is from RNAcentral. Lineage: Eukaryota; Viridiplantae; Streptophyta; Magnoliopsida; Brassicales; Brassicaceae.
GCUUUUGUUUUGGGUAAA